GCCGGGGUGGCGGAAAUGGUAGACGCAGAGGACUUAAAAUCCUCCGGGCCUUAAAGCCCAUACCGGUUCAAGUCCGGUCCUCGGCA
Molecule: transfer RNA, 86 nt
Filed under: bacterium ADurb.Bin363
Lineage: Bacteria
Also listed under: 1 other name
Description: tRNA-Leu
Rfam family: tRNA
About the family: Transfer RNA (tRNA) molecules are approximately 80 nucleotides in length. Their secondary structure includes four short double-helical elements and three loops (D, anti-codon, and T loops). Further hydrogen bonds mediate the characteristic L-shaped molecular structure. tRNAs have two regions of fundamental functional importance: the anti-codon, which is responsible for specific mRNA codon recognition, and the 3' end, to which the tRNAs corresponding amino acid is attached (by aminoacyl-tRNA synthetases). tRNAs cope with the degeneracy of the genetic code in two manners: having more than one tRNA (with a specific anti-codon) for a particular amino acid; and 'wobble' base-pairing, i.e. permitting non-standard base-pairing at the 3rd anti-codon position.
Source: RNAcentral